RNAcentral lists this ribosomal RNA (271 nucleotides) under uncultured prokaryote. Its description in RNAcentral is "partial 16S ribosomal RNA". It matches the Rfam family "Bacterial small subunit ribosomal RNA", at positions 524 to 794 of the family's 1533-position model. The record is from RNAcentral.
UACGUAGGUGGCGAGCGUUGUCCGGAUUUACUGGGCGUAAAGGGAGCGUAGGCGGACUUUUAAGUGAGAUGUGAAAUACCCGGGCUCAACUUGGGUGCUGCAUUUCAAACUGGAAGUCUAGAGUGCAGGAGAGGAGAAUGGAAUUCCUAGUGUAGCGGUGAAAUGCGUAGAUAUUAGGAGGAACACCAGUGGCGAAGGCGGCUUUCUGGACUGUAACUGACACUGAGGCACGAAAGCGUGGGGAGCAAACAGGAUUAGAUACCCGGGUAGU